GACAGAGGUCCCGAGCGUUAGGCGGAAUCACUGGGCUUAAAGCGUGUGUAGGCGGAUGCUAAGUACCUUGUGAAAUCCCACGGCUCACCCGUGGAACUGCUUGGUAUACUGGGUGUCUUGAGCCACUUAGGGGCUACCGGAACAAAUGGUGGAGCGGUGAAAUGCGUAGAUAUCAUUUGGAACGCCAAUGGUGAAAACAGGUAGCUGGGAGUGUGCUGACGCUGAGACACGAAAGCCAGGGGAGCAAACGGGG
Molecule: ribosomal RNA, 253 nt
Filed under: uncultured bacterium
Lineage: Bacteria
Description: partial 16S ribosomal RNA
Rfam family: Bacterial small subunit ribosomal RNA
Source: RNAcentral